Molecule: ribosomal RNA, 219 nt
Filed under: uncultured bacterium
Lineage: Bacteria
Description: partial 16S ribosomal RNA
Rfam family: Bacterial small subunit ribosomal RNA
Source: RNAcentral
UACGUAGGGACCAAGCGUUGUCCGGAAUCAUUGGGCGUAAAGAGCGUGUAGGCGGCUUGUUAAGUCUUGCGUGAAAUCUCGGGGCUCAACCCCGAGCGGUCGUGAGAAACUGGCAGGCUAGAGUGCGGGAGAGGAGAGUGGGAAUUCCUGGUGUAGCGGUGAAAUGCGUAGAUAUCAGGAGGAACACCUGUGGGUGUAGACGGCUUUCUGGACCAUUGC